GAAGCGGUAGUUUAAGCGGAAAAACGAUCCCGACAAGGAGGUUUACAGGUUCAAAUCCUGUCUGCUCUG
Molecule: transfer RNA, 69 nt
Filed under: Chryseobacterium sp. 2987
Lineage: Bacteria; Pseudomonadati; Bacteroidota; Flavobacteriia; Flavobacteriales; Weeksellaceae
Description: tRNA-Cys
Rfam family: tRNA
About the family: Transfer RNA (tRNA) molecules are approximately 80 nucleotides in length.
Source: RNAcentral